This 604-nucleotide unclassified non-coding RNA is filed under the name Fusarium equiseti. RNAcentral describes it as "sequence contains ITS1, 5.8S rRNA gene, ITS2". The stretch from base 191 to 344 matches the Rfam family "5.8S ribosomal RNA". Lineage: Eukaryota; Fungi; Ascomycota; Sordariomycetes; Hypocreales; Nectriaceae. The record is from RNAcentral.
GUAACAAGGUCUCCGUUGGUGAACCAGCGGAGGGAUCAUUACCGAGUUUACAACUCCCAAACCCCUGUGAACAUACCUAUACGUUGCCUCGGCGGAUCAGCCCGCGCCCCGUAAAACGGGACGGCCCGCCCGAGGACCCCUAAACUCUGUUUUUAGUGGAACUUCUGAGUAAAACAAACAAAUAAAUCAAAACUUUCAACAACGGAUCUCUUGGUUCUGGCAUCGAUGAAGAACGCAGCAAAAUGCGAUAAGUAAUGUGAAUUGCAGAAUUCAGUGAAUCAUCGAAUCUUUGAACGCACAUUGCGCCCGCCAGUAUUCUGGCGGGCAUGCCUGUUCGAGCGUCAUUUCAACCCUCAAGCUCAGCUUGGUGUUGGGACUCGCGGUAACCCGCGUUCCCCAAAUCGAUUGGCGGUCACGUCGAGCUUCCAUAGCGUAGUAAUCAUACACCUCGUUACUGGUAAUCGUCGCGGCCACGCCGUAAAACCCCAACUUCUGAAUGUUGACCUCGGAUCAGGUAGGAAUACCCGCUGAACUUAAGCAUAUCAAUAAGCGGAGGAAAAGAAACCAACAGGGAUUGCCCUAGUAACGGCGAGUGAAGCGGCAA